CGCGUAGGCGGCCACCGCAAGUCGGUUGUGAAAUCUCUGGGCCUAACCCAGAAAGGUCAACCGAUACUGCGGGGCUAGAGUGCAGAAGGGGCAACUGGAAUUCUCGGUGUAGCGGUGAAAUGCGUAGAUAUCGAGAGGAACACCUGCGGCGAAGGCGGGUUGCUGGGCUGACACUGACGCUGAAGCGCGAAAGCUAGGGGAGCGAACG
Molecule: ribosomal RNA, 208 nt
Filed under: uncultured bacterium
Lineage: Bacteria
Description: partial 16S ribosomal RNA
Rfam family: Bacterial small subunit ribosomal RNA
Source: RNAcentral